CUAUACAUGCAAGUCGAGCGGUAAGGCUCUGCACUAAGUACUUAAAUUUUUAAGUAUUUUGUGUAGAGUACACGAGCGGCGGACGGCUGAGUAACGCGUAGGAACCUACCUCAAAGUGAGGGAUAAGCAUCAGAAAUGAUGUCUAAUACCGCAUGUGCUCUAAGGAGUAAAGCUUUAGCGCUUUGAGAAGGGCCUGCGUAUGAUUAGCUUGUUGGUAAGGUAAUGGCUUACCAAGGCGACGAUCAUUAGCUGGUCUGAGAGGAUGAUCAGCCAGACUGGGACUGAGAACGGCCCAGACUCCUACGGGAGGCAGCAGUAGGGAAUUUUCCACAAUGGGCGAAAGCCUGAUGGAGCAACGCCGCGUGCAGGAUGAAGGCUUUCGGGUCGUAAACUGCUUUUAUAUGUGAUGAUUAUGACAGUAGCAUAUGAAUAAGGAUCGGCUAACUCCGUGCCAGCAGCCGCGGUCAUACGGAGGAUCCAAGCGUUAUCCGGAAUUACUGGGCGUAAAGAGUUGCGUAGGUGGCAAAGUAAGCGAAUAGUAAAAGCGUACAGCUCAACUAUAUACAUAUUAUUUGAACUACUUAGCUAGAGGAUGAGAGAGGUUAUUGGAAUUCCUA
Molecule: ribosomal RNA, 617 nt
Filed under: uncultured Desulfovibrionales bacterium
Lineage: Bacteria; Pseudomonadati; Thermodesulfobacteriota; Desulfovibrionia; Desulfovibrionales
Description: bacterial SSU rRNA
Rfam family: Bacterial small subunit ribosomal RNA
Source: RNAcentral